CCUACGGGAGGCAGCAGUGGGGAAUCUUGGACAAUGGACCAAAGCCUGAUCCAGCGCACGCCGCGUGGGUGAAGAAGGCCUGCGGGUUGUAAAGCCCUUUCGGUGGGGAAGAAAAGCCUCGAGUUAAUACCUCAGGGUCUUGACGUCUCCCARAGAACAAGCACCGGCUUACUCUGUGCCAGCAGCCGCGGUAAU
RNAcentral lists this ribosomal RNA (195 nucleotides) under uncultured bacterium. RNAcentral's name for it is "partial 16S rRNA". It matches the Rfam family "Bacterial small subunit ribosomal RNA", at positions 338 to 524 of the family's 1533-position model. The record is from RNAcentral.